GGCUCUAUGGAUUAGUUGGUUAAAGUUCCUGUCUCGUAAACAGGAGAUCCUGGGUUCAACUCCCAGUAGGGCCU
Orycteropus afer afer is the source of this 74-nucleotide non-coding RNA. The record is from the annotation of a RefSeq genome assembly. Lineage: Eukaryota; Metazoa; Chordata; Mammalia; Tubulidentata; Orycteropodidae.